AUGGCAAGAAAGCACCACUGAUGAACCAGAAAGCAGAUUCAAUCUGUCAGUGCCUUGGUCUUGGACAGCUCAGUCUUCAAAACUAAGCUCACCAGAAAUGACUGGGGCCUGAGCUACACUUCUGCUUGAUCCUGGCAUAUAUAAGCCAUUCACCAUCUCAUCAAUGGCCAGGACUUGAAGUAGACCUUUGUUUAAUGCCCUCUGUAUGAAGAUAAGCAAGGGACACUUUAGAGCUGGCAUAGGUGUGGAUUCAUUGAGAUGGCUAUGACCUAUGUACCAAGAUUAGAGAAAGAAUGUGGUGGAGCUGAACUGUUGAAGACAGUCCUGGAAGACUCUCAUCUCUCUCCUUGUACAAAAUUCUUCUUGUGUCAUUGGGCCCUGGAUAUAUUUUCAAAGGAAGGAAAAUGAUAACCUUAAUGGGCUCUGAUAUGAGAGAUCUUGGAGACUAUACCAAAUGAACAGCAAGGAAAAGAAUCUCGAGCCAUUUAAAGAAUGAAAUUAAAGAACUCCA
Molecule: long non-coding RNA, 511 nt
Filed under: Heterocephalus glaber (naked mole-rat)
Lineage: Eukaryota; Metazoa; Chordata; Mammalia; Rodentia; Bathyergidae
Description: lncRNA (ENSHGLG00100034158.1)
Source: RNAcentral